AUACGUAGGUGGCACGCGUUGUCCGGAAUUAUUGGGCGUAAAGCGCGCGCAGGUGGUUCCUUAAGUCUGAUGUGAAAGCCCCCGGCUCAACCGGGGAGGGUCAUUGGAAACUGGGGAACUUGAGUGCAGAAGAGGAUAGUGGAAUUCCAAGUGUAGCGGUGAAAUGCGUAGAGAUUUGGAGGAACACCAGUGGCGAAGGCGGCUGGCUGGUCUGAAACUGACACUGAGGCGCGAAAGCGUGGGGAGCAAACAGGAUCAGAUCCCCUGGUAGUCCACGCCGUAAACGAUGAGUGCUAAGUGUUGGGGGGUUUCCGCCCCUCAGUGCUGCAGCUAACGCAUUAAGCACUCCGCCUGGGGAGUACGGUCGCAAGACUGAAACUCAAAUGAAUUGACGGGG
This 397-nucleotide ribosomal RNA is filed under the name uncultured bacterium. RNAcentral's name for it is "partial 16S ribosomal RNA". It matches the Rfam family "Bacterial small subunit ribosomal RNA", at positions 523 to 918 of the family's 1533-position model. The record is from RNAcentral.